RNAcentral lists this ribosomal RNA (106 nucleotides) under Moschus moschiferus (Siberian musk deer). RNAcentral's name for it is "partial large subunit ribosomal RNA". Lineage: Eukaryota; Metazoa; Chordata; Mammalia; Artiodactyla; Moschidae. The record is from RNAcentral.
AAUGAGUUAACUAGUAUGAAGCUUAACAAAACGAAUUUCAGCUAAGCCACCCGAAACCAGACGAGCUACCUAUGAACAGUUUAUUAAGAACCAACUCAUCUAUGUA